Lemur catta (Ring-tailed lemur) is the source of this 1130-nucleotide long non-coding RNA. RefSeq lists it as uncharacterized. NCBI's taxonomy places the organism in Eukaryota, Metazoa, Chordata, Mammalia, Primates, Lemuridae. The record is from RefSeq and is a predicted model, not a curated record. The transcript is spliced from 2 exons.
CUGCAUUGCAUUUUGCCUCCUGCAAGCAUCAUCAACAGUUACUGGAGGAAUGUAAUUCCAGAAAGCUUGAAAGCUGUGGUGAUGGUAAUUAUGUAUCAAAUGCCUGAUUCUAUUUCUGUUAUUAUUGUUUUGUCAUUUCUGUUCUACCAGCGAUCUGACUGAACUCGCAAAGGGACAAAUCCAGUUUUUCUUUUUGACUUUGUAAAAUUUAAUCAGGCCUGAUAGAAAACUCACAGCUCUUGGGGGAAACUAAGUAGGAGCCACGAAAUGUCAUUUUAACAGAGCGUGGGUUUUGUGACUGUAGGAAAGGAUUUAAGGACGCUCCUUCUGUUCGGCUUCUCAGGCACGGAGCACGGGCUCCAAGCACGCACACACGCCACAGCUCCCGGAUGCUGUGGCUCCCUCAUCGGGGCUUCUGCAGCGCCACAAGCCCCUUCGGGAUGCUUCGAGGGGCUCCCGGUGGGUGGUGGUACAAACGCUGCUACGGCCGCCGCCGCCAGUCCUGCUGCUGUUGUUGCUGCUGCUGCAGUCACGUGGGAGCCCCUUUAAGUUUCCAUAGAGAGGCCUCUCCGGUGUCACAUGAUGGACAUGAUAUAAUGAAACAACAUUGUGAGAGGAAAGCAUUAGGGGAGCCCACGGCUACAAAAACAAGUGAGUGAGAAGAGGUGGGAGGAAGAGAAACUACGCCACCUCCCCUGCAGCCGGGCGCACGCAGCAGCCUGGCGUGACAAGUGGGCGACGCCUGGGGGCAGGGAGCCGGGGGUCCUCAGCCCUGGCCCGGGCACCCCGCCGCCCACCGCGCAGAGAACAACUUUUCGCCGGCAGCCGCGGCCAGCACGGCACCUGUCUCCGGAGUCUCCAUCGCUCCUCGUGGUAAUCCAAGGGAGAUUCUCGAAGAAUAUGUUCUACAAAUCUACAUGCGCAUCAUUUUCCCCCUCGCGUCGCGCUCGGGAGGAAGGGUCGAGAAGAGGACCUAAGCGGCGAGUGUUCGCCCAGAGGCAUUUUAUUAAUGCUUUUAGGGGUUAGAAGAGUUGGGAUAGUUUGCCAUCUGGAGUUUCUCUGCCUUGCCAGUCUGAGCUCAGACCUGCCAGUUUGUGAGAGAUGAUUGAUGACACCCUGUAACAGCUGAG